GACGAACGCUGGCGGCGUGCCUAAUACAUGCAAGUCGAACGCUGAAGCUUGGUGCUUGCCCCGAGCGCGUGAGUUGCGAACGGGUGAGUAACGCGUAGGUAACCUGCCUGGUAGCGGGUGAUAACUAUUGGAAACGAUAGCUAAUACCGCAUAAGAGUAUAUGUUGCAUGACAUUUGCUUAAAAGGCGCAAUUGCAUCACUACCAGAUGGACCUGCGUCGUAUUAGCUAGUUGGUGAGGUAACGGGUCACCAAGGCAACGAAACAUAGCCGACCUGAGAGGGUGGGUGGCCACACUGGGACGGGGACACGGCCCAGACUCCUGCGGGAAGGAGCAAGAGGGGAACUUCCGGCAUGGGCGGAAGUCUGACCGAGCAACGCCGCGGGGGGGGAGAAGGUUUUCGGGUCGGAAAGCUCGGUUGUAAGGGAAGAAAGAGUGUGAGAGUGGAAAGUUCACGCUGUGACGGUAUCUUAUCAGAAAGCGACGGCUAACUACGUG
RNAcentral lists this ribosomal RNA (497 nucleotides) under uncultured bacterium. Its description in RNAcentral is "partial 16S ribosomal RNA". It matches the Rfam family "Bacterial small subunit ribosomal RNA", at positions 28 to 507 of the family's 1533-position model. The record is from RNAcentral.